AGAAUGGUAAUUGAACAAUGUGUUGAAAACACCCUCAAUGCACAAUGUACAACACUUGAAGCACCAAGAAACACAACAUAAUUUACCCUUCAACUGAUUCAUCUUCAGCCAUCCAUUUCUUUCACCUUUUCACACGGAUUGUGAUCUGAACGGUUGAUAUUCAGCUCACAUGGAUCGCCCUUUCUACUCCCUUCUCUCUCACAACUCACAUCUCACAAACUUUAUCAGACUCUUUCUCUCUCUUUCUCCCAGAUGAUGAAAGAUGUCUGGAGUGCUGAUGGUUUGAGAUGAAAUCAGAUGAUGAACAACCUGUGAUGAAGAACAAACAUCAAUGAAAUCGAAAACACACAGGGUUGAACACGGAUUUGAAGAAACCCUAACUGAAGGUUUUGUCCGGUCAUCUGUUGUGGUUUCUUUCGGCUUUCUUCCACAUCAACGAUUAGCAAACACAAAGGUUUAAUGGUGGCAUGUUUGUGCUGGUUCAACAAAGCCAGAAAGCGGAGGCGACGGCUAGGGUUUCGAUUAGUGAUCUCGGUCUGAUGUUCUUCACGAUAGAGAUGCACUCGAGAUGGUAAAGAUGGAAUUCCAGCAUUGCUUGGGGUUACAGGGAUCCGCGUUUGAGUUUAGUUCUGGCUGGAAUCCGAGUCGAUCGUUUCACAACUACAAUGGCGUCUUCUAGGGUUUCAUCAAAAGUCCAAAUCAAGAAAAUCCGUUGGGUCCAUCACUAAAGCUGCAGAUAUUUUCAGAUCUGAAGUAUGAUAGGCCAAACGAAUUGACGGAUCGGCAACUUUCUAAUGAGAUGGAAGCGAUUGCGGCUGCUUAUCAUAUUUUUAGAAAUGCUGCUCAGCCUGGUUUCACGUACAUUGAAGAUAUGGAUUUAAGGAGAUUUAUGAAAAUUAGGCAGGCUGGCACGUUUGGGUGACAAGCAUAAACCCAUUUAAGUAGAAAAAUUUGGAAGUAUUUUGUUACCGGUCGGGUUAGGAACGAAGAAGCGCAUGGGACUCGAGGGUUGUACCUCAUGGCAGUCAAAGUAACAAGUAAAACAAGAAGGAAGCGAGUCAUAAGCGUAAUGAUGAAAGAUGUCUGGAGUGCUGAUGGUUUGAGAUGAAAUCAGAUGAUGAACAACCUGUGAUGAAGAACAAACAUCAAUGAAAUCGAAAACACACAGGGUUGAACACGGAUUUGAAGAAACCCUAACUGAAGGUUUUGUCCGGUCAUCUGUUGUGGUUUCUUUCGGCUUUCUUCCACAUCAACGAUUAGCAAACACAAAGGUUUAAUGGUGGCAUGUUUGUGCUGGUUCAACAAAGCCAGAAAGCGGAGGCGACGGCUAGGGUUUCGAUUAGUGAUCUCGGUCUGAUGUUCUUCACGAUAGAGAUGCACUCGAGAUGGUAAAGAUGGAAUUCCAGCAUUGCUUGGGGUUACAGGUGUGCUUGAUUUGGGAUCCGCGUUUGAGUUUAGUUCUGGCUGGAAUCCGAGUCGAUCGUUUCACAACUACAAUGGCGUCUUCUAGGGUUUCAUCAAAAGUCCAAAUCAAGAAAAUCCGUUGGGUCCAUCACUAAAGCUGCAGAUAUUUUCAGAUCUGAAGUAUGAUAGGCCAAACGAAUUGACGGAUCGGCAACUUUCUAAUGAGAUGGAAGCGAUUGCGGCUGCUUAUCAUAUUUUUAGAAAUGCUGCUCAGCCUGGUUUCACGUACAUUGAAGAUAUGGAUUUAAGGAGAUUUAUGAAAAUUAGGCAGGCUGGCACGUUUGGGUGACAAGCAUAAACCCAUUUAAGUAGAAAAAUUUGGAAGUAUUUUGUUACCGGUCGGGUUAGGAACGAAGAAGCGCAUGGGACUCGAGGGUUGUACCUCAUGGCAGUCAAAGUAACAAGUAAAACAAGAAGGAAGCGAGUCAUAAGCGUACUGGGGAUUGGCUGCAGGGACCUUAUGUGUACUACCUUUACACGAUGUACGGUUUCGGUAUAGGUGAAAUUGGGCAGCUGUUUAUUGCUGGAUUUGGAUCUUCCAUGCUGUUUGGGACAAUUGUUGGAUCAUUAGCUGAUAACAUGGUCGAAAAAGAGCUUCGGUUACAGUGCAUAACUUACAUUUUGAGUUGCAUCAUGAAGCAUUCACCUGACUACAGAAUUUUGAUGGUGGGACGAAUCUUGGGAGGGAUUGCCACUUCGCUUCUGAUUUCGGCUUUCGAGUGAUGGCUUGUUGCUGAACACAACAAGGUUGAGGCUGAGGUUUCACGACUUGAAGCGUUGAAGUCGAGCAAAAUGAAGGAACUCGUCUUCAAGAAACGAUUAGAGUUAGAGGACAUUUGUAGAAAGACUCACUUCCAGAAGCUGCUGAUAGUUCAAUGGAGAUAGCUAUGGAAGCUAUUGAAGCUGGUAGAUGUGGAUUUGAACCUUGUGAAGAGCUUUCUUGGUUCGUUUUCUUCUCAAGAGGGACUACCGUGACCUGCUUCGAAUCUGCUUGGUCUCAUGGGCCUUCAACUCCCACAAGACGACAAUAAGGACAAAUGAUUAGAUGUUUGGAUGAAAUACUUGAUCUUGUGAGAGGAUAGCCUUUUGAUUGACCCUCCUGCAAGUUUUGAUCGCUUUACUUUUUGACGGAUAUGAAAUAGCAUAUUGUGUUUCUCACAUCAUUGAAGUUUGAGGUUGUUAUUUGAUUCGAUUUCAGAAAAUCGGGUUCGAAGGAGUUGAAUUUGAACCCUUGACACACUGUUUGGUGUGGUUUGAUACUUUGACUUUAUCCUUAUUAUUUAUUUUUGGUUGCUAAAUACGAGAUGUGUAUUGAAGUUGUAGUAUAAAAAGUUGUAGAGAAUGCGUUUAAGAUUAAGAUCUUUAGGAGAAUGGGGUUGCUAAAUGAAUGAACAAAACUUUGAGUGAAAGGGCAAAGACUGCGAUAGUUCUUAUACGGCUACCAAAGACGUUUUGGGAAUAUCCUGUUAAAUCUGGUGUUUGGGCCGAUUCUUUGAGCCGUGGGCUAAUUGAUCUUAAUAUAUCUGGACAUAAGUGUGCCACUACUACCAAAAUUUGAAUUACUUUUGUUAUUUGACCCAUACAUAAUCGACCCAUUUUAUGAUAUUCGUGCAGCCAAGAAGGUAGACCUGACUGAUGUGGGCAUUGUUGGCAGUUUGUCUGUAGGGGUCGAAGAGAAGGAUAAGGGACUUCCAAAUUCUUUGUACAUGGGUCGAGCUAUGGGCACUGGAUCUGGGCUCGGUUAGUCCACUGGUUUCAUUACUUCGGCAACAACAGAUAUGGAUGAUUUCUUUUCUAGCCUUGGCGGGCCAUAAAAUCAAUAUGGUUCGUUCCAAAAGUGAAACCUUCUUUUAUUGGUUUCACAAAGUUUAUACAGUUACAUGUAAAAUAUUUUGUUCAAGUGUGAGAUCGUUUGGUGUGUCGAUGACCUUGUAGCAAUUUAUGAGAUUUUUUUGAGUGUUUGCCACUGGUGAUGCUUUAUGCAUAUAGCGUCGGUGCUGCAAACAAUUUUACUCCUGGAUUUGUACCUUACUUCCUGGCAAUAUAGUGUGUAUGGAUUUAUCU
Molecule: long non-coding RNA, 3528 nt
Organism: Helianthus annuus (common sunflower)
Lineage: Eukaryota; Viridiplantae; Streptophyta; Magnoliopsida; Asterales; Asteraceae
Exons: 15
Source: RefSeq, a predicted model, not a curated record